This 403-nucleotide ribosomal RNA is filed under the name Verrucomicrobiota bacterium. RNAcentral's name for it is "Verrucomicrobia bacterium partial 16S ribosomal RNA". It matches the Rfam family "Bacterial small subunit ribosomal RNA", at positions 355 to 776 of the family's 1533-position model. Lineage: Bacteria; Pseudomonadati; Verrucomicrobiota. The record is from RNAcentral.
UGGGGAAUAUUGCACAAUGGAGGGAACUCUGAUGCAGCGACGCCGCGUGAACGAAGAAGGCCUUCGAUUCGUAAAGUUCUUUUAUAUGGGAAGAUAAUGACGGUAUCAUAAGAAAAAGCCCCGGCUAACUACGUGCCAGCAGCCGCGGCAAUACGUAGGGGGCUAGCGUUUUCCGGAAUCACUGGGCGUAAAGGGUUCGCAGGCGGAAAUGCAAGUCAGGUGUAAAAGGCAGUAGCUUAACUACUGUAAGCAUUUGAAACUGCAUAACUUGAGAAGAGUAGAGGUAAGUGGAAUUUUUAGUGUAGCGGUGAAAUGCGUAGAUAUUAAAAAGAAUACCGGUGGCGAAGGCGACUUACUGGGCUCAUUCUGACGCUGAGGAACGAAAGCGUGGGUAGCAAACAGG